GAUGAACGCUGGCGGCGUGCCUAAUACAUGCAAGUCGAGCGAACAGACGAGGAGCUUACUCCUCUGACGUUAGCGGCGGACGGGUGAGUAACACGUGGAUAACCUACCUAUAAGACUGGGAUAACUUCGGGAAACCGGAGCUAAUACCGGAUAACAUGUUGAACCGCAUGGUUCAACAGUGAAAGACGGUCUUGCUGUCACUUAUAAAUGGAUCCGCGUCGCAUUAGCUAGUUGGUAAGGUAACGGCUUACCAAGGCAACGAUGCGUAGCCGACCUGAGAGGGUGAUCGGCCACACUGGAACUGAGACACGGUCCAGACUCCUACGGGAGGCAGCAGUAGGGAAUCUUCCGCAAUGGGCGAAAGCCUGACGGAGCAACGCCGCGUGAGUGAAGAAGGUCUUCGGAUCGUAAAACUCUGUUAUUAGGGAAGAACAAAUGUGUAAGUAACUAUGCACGUCUUGACGGUACCUAAUCAGAAAGCCACGGCUAACUACGUG
This 497-nucleotide ribosomal RNA is filed under the name uncultured bacterium. Its description in RNAcentral is "partial 16S ribosomal RNA". It matches the Rfam family "Bacterial small subunit ribosomal RNA", at positions 28 to 507 of the family's 1533-position model. The record is from RNAcentral.